UACGUAGGGUGCAAGCGUUAAUCGGAAUUACUGGGCGUAAAGCGUGCGCAGGCGGUUAUGUAAGACAGUUGUGAAAUCCCCGGGCUCAACCUGGGAAUGGCGAUGAAGACUGCAAGGCUAGAAUCUGGCAGAGGGGGGUAGAAUUCCACGUGUAGCAGUGAAAUGCGUAGAGAUGUGGAGGAACACCGAUGGCGAAGGCAGCCCCCUGGGUCAAGAUUGACGCUCAUGCACGAAAGCGUGGGGAGCAAACAGG
Molecule: ribosomal RNA, 253 nt
Filed under: uncultured bacterium
Lineage: Bacteria
Description: partial 16S ribosomal RNA
Rfam family: Bacterial small subunit ribosomal RNA
Source: RNAcentral